UUUCAUGGAGAGUUUGAUCCUGGCUCAGGACGAACGCUGGCGGCGUGCCUAAUACAUGCAAGUCGAGCGAAUCUUGAGGUGCUUGCACCUCUUGGUUAGCGGCGGACGGGUGAGUAACACGUGGGCAACCUGCCUGUAAGACUGGGAUAACAUCGGGAAACCGAUGCUAAUACCGGAUAAUCCUUUUCCUCUCAUGAGGGAA
Molecule: ribosomal RNA, 202 nt
Filed under: Bacillus sp. MRMR6
Lineage: Bacteria; Bacillati; Bacillota; Bacilli; Caryophanales; Bacillaceae
Description: partial 16S ribosomal RNA
Rfam family: Bacterial small subunit ribosomal RNA
Source: RNAcentral